This 1293-nucleotide ribosomal RNA is filed under the name metagenome. RNAcentral describes it as "SSU rRNA". It matches the Rfam family "Eukaryotic small subunit ribosomal RNA", at positions 483 to 1768 of the family's 1831-position model. The record is from RNAcentral.
AUACCGGGCCUUUUUGGGCUUGGUAAUUGGAAUAAGGGAGAGUUAAACGGACCAUCGAGUAUCCAUUGGAGGGCCAGUCUGGUGCCAGCAGCUGCGGUAAUACCAGCUCCAAUAGCGUAUAUUAAAGUUGUUGCAGUUAAAAAGCUCGUAGUUGGACUUGUGUGCGCUGUCCGCGGGUGGCCUGCGCCCAAAAGGGCGUUUCGGUUCGGCCCCGGUGGCGCCUUGAAAUCUGCAGCUGGGGGGACGUUGGCCUUAACUGGUCGGCGACCGCACGCCGGCUGCUCGGUUACUGUGAGAAAAUUAGAGUGUUCAAGGCAGGCAUUGGGUGCAAUUGAAUACAUUAGCAUGGAAUAAUAAAAUAUGGCUCCUGCCGUAUUUUGUUGGUUUUGACCGGUGGGAGUAAUGAUUGAUAGGGACGGUUGGGGGUGCUAGUAUUGAGCGGCCAGAGGUGAAAUUCAUGGAUUCGCUCAAGACUAACUUAUGCGAAAGCAUUCACCAAGGACGUCCUCUUUAACCAAGAACGAAAGUUGGGGGAUCGAAGACGAUCAGAUACCGUCGUAGUCUCAACCAUAAACUAUGACGACUUGGGAUCGGCGGUAGUUUUUUUCAUUAAGACACUGUCGGGACCACGGGAGAAAUCAAAGUGUCUGGACUCUGGGGGAAGUAUGGUCGCAAAGCUGAAACUUGAAGGAAUUGACGGAAGGGCACCACCAGGAGUGGAGCCUGCGGCUUAAUUUGACCCAACACGGGGAAACUUACCAGGUCCAGAGAUGUAGAGGAUUGACAGAUUGAAGCUCUUUCUUGAUCACUUCGGUGGUGGUGCAUGGCCGUUCUUAGUUGGUGGAGUGAUUUGUCUGGUUAAAUCCGUUAGCGAACGAGACCUCAGCCUGCUAGUGUAGUCGGCUGGAUUGCCUUUGGCGAUCCGUGAUUUCGACUUCUUAGAGGGACAAUCGACGCGCAGUCGAUGGAAGUUUGAGGCAAUAACAGGUCUGUGAUGCCCUUAGAUGUUCUGGGCCGCACGCGCGCUACACUGCUGGGCUCAGCGGGUUUUACUUGGCCGAGAGGCCCGGUUAAUCUUGUGAAAUCCCAGCGUGCUUGGGCUCGCCUCCUGCAACUGGAGGCGCCAGCGAGGAAUUCCUAGUAGACGCAGGUCAUCAACCUGCAUCGAUUACGUCCCUGCCCUUUGUACACACCGCCCGUCGUUCCAUAAGAGUGAGGCAUCCGGUGAAUUCUCGGGAGAGCCUGGGCGUGGCCAACAAUGGUCUGCUCGGGUUUGAACUUGCAUAAACUUGG